Molecule: non-coding RNA, 111 nt
Organism: Acanthosepion pharaonis
Lineage: Eukaryota; Metazoa; Mollusca; Cephalopoda; Sepiida; Sepiidae
Source: the annotation of a GenBank genome assembly
CAGCCAUGUCAAGUCGAAACAUCAGUUUUCCUAUGAUCACCAAAGUUAAGCAACAUUGAGCCUGGUCAGUACCUAUAUGGGUGAUCGCUUGAGAAUACCAGGUGCUGUAAG